Molecule: long non-coding RNA, 926 nt
Filed under: Olea europaea subsp. europaea
Lineage: Eukaryota; Viridiplantae; Streptophyta; Magnoliopsida; Lamiales; Oleaceae
Source: RNAcentral
AGAUUAAUAAUUAGUCCAAGUAGUUGGUGACAUGCACCAAACACCCCACCACUGAUCCUGAUUCAGCAUCAAUCUUGUUCACAAAUCACCAGCACACAACCUACUUACACUACACCACUGCUGCAGCCCAAAAUUGGCACCACAAUCACCGCUGCAAUCACAACGCCAAAGCCAGCACCACUACCAUCGCAAGAUACGUUGACAACCAACACCACCACUAAAUAUCACCAUGAUGGUUGUGUCAACACCAUCGUUUGAAUCAUCAUGACCACCACAAACACUAAUUGCAUCAUAACUGCCAUCAACAUAGCCAAUUACCACCAUCGAAAAAAAAAGAAAAAAAACUGACCAAGGAUGAACCAUCAUCAUCCCAACACCACUAUUGCCUGUAUUACCUACCACACCAGAACCAACAGCAUCUCCGUACACCUCACACACAUCACACAUAGAUCACCAUUGCAAUCGUAAACUACUGCAACCACCAUAUGCACAUAUCACCACCGCCAUUACCAGCACCACCUCGACCCCCAAUACUAGAUCCAAAACUACCCCAUGCUCAAAUCCGCUACUACAGCGGCAUCAACAAUAAAUAAAUAGCUUGGUAGCAAAUUGAAAGGAAGUGGCGAGUUUGGGUUUUGUACCUUAGGGCUAAAGCUAAGGCUGUUCGUUCUCCCUUAGAUAUGGGCCUUUCAAGAAUCGGACCUUCAGCAAGGAGAUUUGAAGCUGGGAUGGGGCGAUAAAUAGGCAGCAUAGGUUUUGGAAUCAGAUUCUUGUUUAGUAAAUCAAAUUCGGCUCUUUUAAUCAAUAGAACUGGCGCCAACAAAAGAUGUUCUGUCGUUGUUGAUGGAGAGAGAAGAAAGAGAGAAGGGAGGUAGAGAGAGAGAGAGAGAGGGGAAAGUGAUAUGGUUUGGAAGUGAAUAGCAGGG